Non-coding RNA from Trichonephila clavipes, 72 nucleotides. The record is from the annotation of a GenBank genome assembly. NCBI's taxonomy places the organism in Eukaryota, Metazoa, Arthropoda, Arachnida, Araneae, Nephilidae.
GGGGGUAUAGCUCACUGGUAGAGCAUUCGACUGCAGAUCGAGAAACACACGGUUCAAACUCGGGUGCCCUUU